AGUGAACGCUGGCGGUAGGCCUAACACAUGCAAGUCGAACGGCAGCACAGUAAGAGCUUGCUCUUACGGGUGGCGAGUGGCGGACGGGUGAGGAAUACAUCGGAAUCUACUUUUUCGUGGGGGAUAACGUAGGGAAACUUACGCUAAUACCGCAUACGACCUACGGGUGAAAGCAGGGGAUCUUCGGACCUUGCGCGAUUGAAUGAGCCGAUGUCGGAUUAGCUAGUUGGCGGGGUAAAGGCCCACCAAGGCGACGAUCCGUAGCUGGUCUGAGAGGAUGAUCAGCCAAACUGGAACGGAGACACGGUCCAGAAUCCUACGGGAGGCAGCAGUGGGGAAUAUUGGAAAAUGGGCGCAAGCCUGAUCCAGCCAUACCGCGUGGGUGAAGAAGGCCUUCGGGUUGUAAAGCCCUUUUGUUGGGAAAGAAAAGCAGCAGGUUAAUACCCCGCUGUUCUGACGGUACCCAAAGAAUAAGCACCGGCUAACUUCGUG
This 492-nucleotide ribosomal RNA is filed under the name uncultured bacterium. RNAcentral's name for it is "partial 16S ribosomal RNA". It matches the Rfam family "Bacterial small subunit ribosomal RNA", at positions 29 to 507 of the family's 1533-position model. The record is from RNAcentral.